Molecule: ribosomal RNA, 468 nt
Filed under: uncultured bacterium
Lineage: Bacteria
Description: partial 16S ribosomal RNA
Rfam family: Bacterial small subunit ribosomal RNA
Source: RNAcentral
GACGAACGCUGGCGGCGUGCUUAACACAUGCAAGUCGAACGGAAAGGCCCUGCUUUUGUGGGGUGCUCGAGUGGCGAACGGGUGAGUAACACGUGAGUAACCUGCCCUUGACUUUGGGAUAACUUCAGGAAACUGGGGCUAAUACCGGAUAGGAGCUCCUGCUGCAUGGUGGGGGUUGGAAAGUUUCGGCGGUUGGGGAUGGACUCGCGGCUUAUCAGCUUGUUGGUGGGGUAGUGGCUUACCAAGGAUUUGACGGGUAGCCGGACUGAGAGGGUGACCGGCAACAUUGGGACUGAGAUACGGCCCAGACUCCUACGGGAGGCAGCAGUGGGGAAUAUUGCACAAUGGGCGGAAGCCUGAUGCAGCAACGCCGCGUGCGGGAUGACGGCCUUCGGGUUGUAAACCGAUUUCGCCUGUGACGAAGCGUGAGUGACGGUAAUGGGUAAAGAAGCACCGGAUAACUACGUG